This 253-nucleotide ribosomal RNA is filed under the name uncultured bacterium. Its description in RNAcentral is "partial 16S ribosomal RNA". It matches the Rfam family "Bacterial small subunit ribosomal RNA", at positions 524 to 776 of the family's 1533-position model. The record is from RNAcentral.
UACGUAGGGGGCUAGCGUUGUCCGGAAUCAUUGGGCGUAAAGAGCGUGUAGGCGGCCCGGUAAGUCCGCUGUGAAAGUCGGGGGCUCAACCCUCGAAUGCCGGUGGAUACUGUCGGGCUAGAGUGCGGAAGAGGCGAGUGGAAUUCCUGGUGUAGCGGUGAAAUGCGCAGAUAUCAGGAGGAACACCAAUGGCGAAGGCAGAUCUCUGGGCCGUAACUGACGCUGAGGAGCGAAAGCAUGGUGAGCGAACAGG